UACGUAGGGUGCGAGCGUUUGUCCGGAAUUAUUGGGCGUAAAGAGCUUGUAGGUGGCUCGUCGCGUCGGGAGUGAAAACCCGCGGCUUAACCGCGGCCUGCUUCGAUACGGGCGGGCUAGAGUUCGGCAGGGGAGACUGGAAUUCCUGGUGUAGCGGUGGAAUGCGCAGAUAUCAGGAGGAACACCGGUGGCGAAGGCGGGUCUCUGGGCCGAUACUGACACUGAGAAGCGAAAGCGUGGGGAGCGAACAGG
RNAcentral lists this ribosomal RNA (252 nucleotides) under uncultured bacterium. RNAcentral describes it as "partial 16S ribosomal RNA". It matches the Rfam family "Bacterial small subunit ribosomal RNA", at positions 524 to 776 of the family's 1533-position model. The record is from RNAcentral.